This 427-nucleotide long non-coding RNA is filed under the name Mytilus galloprovincialis (Mediterranean mussel). Lineage: Eukaryota; Metazoa; Mollusca; Bivalvia; Mytilida; Mytilidae. The record is from RNAcentral.
UGUCAAAAGUUCUGAAAUUUAAUACUCGGAUACUCGGUCAUGAUACUCGAGUACUCGCGAGUAUUCGGAUGAAUCUUAUACGUCUAUUGAAAAGUUUCGAUUUUAGGCGGGCUGCAGUGUUUUUGUCAUUACCUUUCAUAUACAUAUUUUACGAAAGACAACCGUACUUAUAAAAGCACAGCUUUAUCCUCUGUUUGUUGUGUCAAUUUAACAAUGAAUUACCGACCGCUGUUUCUAUAAAUAAUUGUUUUUUGCACUAUCUUACGGAGCCCCGCUAGAGACAUGCUAAGAAAAAAAAAAUAUAUUGUGCGCACAACUUAAAUAAAUUGUGCGCACAAAAUAAUAUACUGUGCGCACAAAAUAAUAUUGUGUGCGAACAAAAUAAUAUAAUGUGCGUACAAAAUAAUAUAUUGUGCACACAAUUUAA